GAACGUAUGGCUUAGUGGUCAGAGUGCUUCGACGGUCAACAGGAGGCGCGGGUUCAAAUGCCGUUAUGUUCA
This 72-nucleotide transfer RNA is filed under the name Heliconius melpomene (postman butterfly). RNAcentral describes it as "tRNA HMEL006342". It matches the Rfam family "tRNA". Rfam says of the family: Transfer RNA (tRNA) molecules are approximately 80 nucleotides in length. The record is from RNAcentral. Lineage: Eukaryota; Metazoa; Arthropoda; Insecta; Lepidoptera; Nymphalidae.